RNAcentral lists this ribosomal RNA (256 nucleotides) under uncultured bacterium. Its description in RNAcentral is "partial 16S ribosomal RNA". It matches the Rfam family "Bacterial small subunit ribosomal RNA", at positions 524 to 776 of the family's 1533-position model. The record is from RNAcentral.
UACGAAGGGGGGCUAGCGUUGCUCGGAAUGACUGGGCGUAAAGGGCGCGUAGGCGGAUGGCACAGUCAGAUGUGAAAUUCCCGGGCUUAACCUGGGGGGCUGCAUUUGAUACGUGUUGUCUAGAGUGAGGAAGAGGGUUGUGGAAUUCCCCAGUGUAGAGGUGAAAUUCGUAGAUAUUGGGAAGAACACCGGUGGCGAAGGCGGCAACCUGGUCCUUGACUGACGCUGAGGCGCGAAAGCGUGGGGAGCAAACAGG